GGGAAAUGUAAUCUGUUCAUGCUGGAGUUUGUUUCCGAAGAGAGUUACGGAUCUGCUCUAAUUCACCUCUGCAUAAUAUCAUGAUCUGUUGAUUAACACUCCCUUGAGCCUGAACUAACUCCACAAACAGGGAACGAAGCUUAUGUUGCAGCUUGGCACAAGGUCAUUCCACCCCUGGUUACUGAAAAUGUAAGAGGGCCCCCUUGCGCAACACUGAGGUCUCAUUUGCCGGCUGCAUUAUCUCCGUGUUAAAAUCCCUUGCCUAGUUAGCAUUUGCGAUGAUGGAUGGCAUUGCACUAACCGAGCCUACAUCCUUCUCACAGAACAUCCAAGAACCUCGAAGUCUGAUGAUAGAUUACUAUUGCUUUAUCUUGUACUGAUUAUUCUUGCCCAUGACAUGAAGAGAGGCUGAGAUUGACAGCAGCGUGUGACCGCCAGCCCCACCGCCACGGGAGAGCACGGACCCACACUGAACUAGCAGCACCUCACAGACAAGACGCCGAGCACCGAACACCCAAACCACCUCACCGCACCAACGGUUCUUUUAAUAAAACCCACCCUUCGGGGAACUUACCCUCAUCCUCGUGUCGUGUCCUACUUCACCCCGCCACAGAGGCAAAACAGAAAAUGUCCCUUUUUACAUAGCAUCUGACAGCUCUUUUCAAAAGUCAAUUUAGAAUCUAUGACUGUCCCGAGAUAUUUGCAGCUUUCUACACAAUCCACCACCUGGUCUUUAAUGAUCAUAGUGUCAUAACGUAAAGCACAAGUUCUAAAAUCUAUAAUCAUGUCAUUUGUUUGAGUUAUAUUUAACUACAAAUAAGAUUAAUCACACCAGGUGACAAACUCCUCAAUAAUAGGACCGUGUCCAUACUCAUUAUUGUGUAGCAAACUCACAAUAACUGUGUCAUCAGCAAAUUUCAAUAUAGUCAUAUUUGCAUGCUUACUUUGGCACAUAUUAGUAUACAAAAUAUAAAAUAAAGGUGAAAGAACACAACCCUGGGGUGAACCAGUGGACGGACAUAAUGGAUCUGAUAAAAUACCAUUUACUUUCACCCUCUGUGUUCUAUUUGUCAAGAAAUCCAGUAUCCAACCCACCAAACUGUUGCUCAGCUUAAAAUGCUCUAUCAAUCUCAUAGCUAAAAUGUGGGGUUGGAUAGUAUUAAAAGCUGAGAAAAAAAAACAGUUUAGCAUGAGUAUUUCUCCCUUCUAGAUGCUUAAACAAAUGUUUAAGUAAUGUAAUUGUAGCGUCCUCAACUCCUCUAUGUGCCCUAUAGGCAAACUGCAUAGGGUCAAGAGCUUGCUCAGUUUGCCUUACAAUCUCUGUCUUCACAAGCUUUUCAAAUGAUUUCAUUACAAGAGAAGUGAGGGCAAUUGGCCUGAGGUCAUUUAAAGCCUUGGGACUAUUAUUUUUUGGAGCCGGAAUAAUAACAGCCCGCUUCCACAAGUUAGGUAUAUUGUUGGGAUAAAGACAUAUUAAAAAUAUCAUAAAAGAUACAACUUAAUUGUUUUGCACAAUAUUUCAGUAAUUUGCCACAUAUAUUGUCUG
Molecule: long non-coding RNA, 1546 nt
Organism: Cyprinus carpio carpio
Lineage: Eukaryota; Metazoa; Chordata; Actinopteri; Cypriniformes; Cyprinidae
Source: Ensembl